Long non-coding RNA from Gossypium raimondii (Peruvian cotton), 639 nucleotides. RefSeq lists it as uncharacterized. The transcript has 2 exons. The record is from RefSeq and is a predicted model, not a curated record. NCBI's taxonomy places the organism in Eukaryota, Viridiplantae, Streptophyta, Magnoliopsida, Malvales, Malvaceae.
UUGAAAUGAUAGGAUAAAAUGGAAGGAUUAAAAGCAUAAAUAACCCAUAAAUAAAAUCCCAUUACAUUUGCAGCCAAUAAAACCCAUUUCAAACCCUAAAAGAAAAAACUCUCCUCUGCCAUUUUUCAAUCACGCCGUUGCCCUCCUUUUGCCCUUUCAAAUCUGUUCCCAACCGGCCACAAUGACAACGACAAUGGCACCUCGACGGCACGCUUGUCACCGGUAGAAACGGCGUUGUGCGAAGCUGCUGAUCAUGGGUGAAGCGACGUGGGAGUGAUGGGCAGUUGCUGCAGCGUAGGGCAUUGUUGCGAGGGAAGAACGUGGGCAGUUGCGGUUGCUGCGGCGCUGAGGCACAAAAGCUGCCUAGGGCUGCUGUUGAAAAUUGUUAGGGCUAGGUGGGUUUGGGUUUGAUGUAAUCUAGACUUUAGUUUUAAUUGGGCUCGGGUAAAAAUUGGGUAUUACAAUAUUGUUUAAGACGUUUUGGUUUCCCAUUUCAAAUUGUUAUUUUUUUAGGAGCCCAAGGCACCUCCCAUUCAGUCUGCUAUUUGUUUGACAGGUGGACGAGAUGAAGGGCUUUAAGGUAUUGUUUAGUGUUUUCAAUUUUUUAAUAAAUGCAUCAGGUACUUUAUUUAAAAAAAA